AGAGUUUGAUCCUAGCUCAGGGUGAACGCUGGCGGCAUGGAUAAGGCAUGCAAGUCGAAUGAGUGCAUCAUAUUGCAUAUGAUGCAGAAUAAUGAAUUAUAAAUACGGUAGGAAUUUGCGUGGCAAAUUCCUGUGUGUGAUUCUUAGUUCAUACUUCUGUGUAUCAUGCGUAGUAUGACGCACUCAUGGCAAACGGGGUAGUAACAGGUAGGAACGUACCCAUAAGUCGUGAAUAACUUCAAGAAAUUGAUGAUAAUACACGAUAUCCCGCAAGGGGAAAGAUUUAUCGCUUAUGGAGCGGCCUACUCAGUAUCAGCUUGUUGGUGAGGUAACUGCUCACCAAGGCUACGACGCUUAGGGGAGGUGAGAGCCUGACCCCCACCAUUGGAACUGAGACACUGUCCAAACUCCUACGGGAGGCUGCAGUCGAGAAUCUUCCGCAAUGGGCGAAAGCCUGACGGAGCGAUGUCGCGUGGUAGAUGAAGCACUUCGGUGCGUAAAUACCUUUUAUGAGGGAAGAAAUUAUUGACAUUACCUCAUGAAUAAGGGGCUCCUAAUCACGUGCCAGCAGGAGCGGUAAUACGUGAGCCUCAAGCGUUACCCGGAUUUACUGGGCGUAAAGGGUGUGUAGGCGGUUUAGUUAGUCGAGCGUUAAAUACCGGAGCCCAACUUCGGAUCCGCGUUCGAAACGGCUAAACUAGAGGGUGUGAGAGGUCCAGGGAACUCAUGGUGUAGGGGUGGAAUCCGUUGAUAUCAUGGGGAACAUCAAAAGCGAAGGCACUGGACUGGCACACUCCUGACGCUCAAACACGAAAGCGUGGGUAGCGAACGGGAUUAGAUACCCCGGUAGUCCACGCCCUAAACGUUCCUCGCUAGCUUUUCGGAGUAUCGACCCUUCGAGAGGCGAAGCUAACGCGUUAAGCGAGGCGCCUGGGUAGUACGAACGCAAGUUUAAAACUCAAAGGAAUAGACGGGGGCUCGCACAAGCGGUGGAGCGCGUGGCUUAAUUCGUAGCUAAACGAAGAACCUUACCGGGGUUUGAAACCUAACUGCACGACUAGGGAAACCUAGUUUCUUUUGAAGGUGUUAGGCAGGUGAUGCAUGGCUGUCGUCAGUUCGUGUUUUGAAAUGUUCCCUUAAGUGGGGUAACGAACGCAACCCUCGUGCUGUGUUAUAAGUGUCACAGCAGACUGCUCCCUCACGGGAGAGGAAGGUGAGGAUGACGCCAAGUCAGCAUGUCCCUUUGACAUCCCGGGCUGCACACACGCUACAAUGGAUAGUACAACAAGGCGCAAUGGAGUAAUCCGGAGCAAAUCUUUAAAACUAUUCUCAGUUCGGAUUGAGGUCUGCAACUCGACCUCAUGAAGUUGGAAUCGCUAGUAAUGGCAGGUCAGCAUACUGCCGUGAAUACGUUCUCGAGCCUUGUACUCACCGCCCGUCAAUACAAGGGAGCUGGGAGUACCCGAUGUCCGUCCUAGUGACGGCCCAAGGUAAAUUCAGUAACAAGGUAUAAGUCGUAACAAGGUACGGC
Molecule: ribosomal RNA, 1531 nt
Filed under: invertebrate metagenome
Description: bacterial SSU rRNA
Rfam family: Bacterial small subunit ribosomal RNA
Source: RNAcentral